RNAcentral lists this ribosomal RNA (324 nucleotides) under Triticum aestivum (bread wheat). RNAcentral describes it as "partial small subunit ribosomal RNA". Lineage: Eukaryota; Viridiplantae; Streptophyta; Magnoliopsida; Poales; Poaceae. The record is from RNAcentral.
AUGUUGCACCUAGCGCCAAAGAUAUAUCACGGUGGUGUAUUUGGGAUUUCUUAUUUAUAUUAUGAGUAUAACUUGGAGAAGUCGAGCGCCUAUCAGCAAUUUUCUGCAGGAUACCUCCGGUCAUAUGCAUGCUGUCUACCUACCAUAUCUCUAGGAAUACUAAUGGCAUUGCCCAUAGUUGUGCUCAUCAGGUUCUCAAUUCAAGAACAGAACCUGUUUUCUACUGUACUUAUUAUACUCAUGGCAACAGUUCUUGCCCCUUUCUGCAAUCUCCUCGCCUUUCAGCUGCAGGAUUUUGUAAUUCAUGCUGUAUUCUGCUUAUGA